This 74-nucleotide transfer RNA is filed under the name Podarcis lilfordi (Lilford's wall lizard). RNAcentral's name for it is "tRNA.Lys". Lineage: Eukaryota; Metazoa; Chordata; Lepidosauria; Squamata; Lacertidae. The record is from RNAcentral.
ACCUGCUUAAGCUCAGUUGGUAGAGCAUGAGGCUCUUAAUAUCAGGGUCCUGGGUUCAAGCCCCACACUGGGCA